RNAcentral lists this ribosomal RNA (497 nucleotides) under uncultured bacterium. RNAcentral's name for it is "partial 16S ribosomal RNA". It matches the Rfam family "Bacterial small subunit ribosomal RNA", at positions 28 to 507 of the family's 1533-position model. The record is from RNAcentral.
GAUGAACGCUGGCGGCGUGCCUAAUACAUGCAAGUCGAGCGAAGAAGGUUGGUGCUUGUUCCUACUGGAUGAGCAGCGAACGGGUGAGUAACGCGUGGGGAAUCUGCCUUUGAGACGGGGACAACAUCUGGAAACGAAUGCUAAUACCGCAUAAAAUCUUUAAACACAUGUUUCAAGAUUGAAAGAUGCAAUUGCAUCACUCAAAGAUUAUCCCCCGUUGUAUUAGCUUGUUGGUGAGGGAAAGGCCUACCCAGGCGAAGGUACAUAACCGACCUGGAAAGGGUGACGGGCACAAUUGGACUGGGACACCGCCCAAGCUCCCUCGGGGGGGAAGAAGAAGGGAUCCUCGGCCAAUGGGGGAAGGCUGGCCGAGCAACGCCGCGUGAGGGAAGAAGGUUUUCGGAUCGUAAAACUCCGUUGGUAAGGAAGGACGACGGUGGGAAUGGAAAGCGCAUCAAGUGACGGUAACUACCCAGAAAGCGACGGCUAACUACGUG